GUAACAUAUGGCCUGUAGCUAAAAGGAGCAGUCUUAGGCCUUUAGUUUUGGGAACUCCCAGGAGUUCUCUCCCCAGGGAAUUCAGCUGCUCUGAACCAAGCUCCUGUUCAGGCUCUCCUAAGGGCUCUGGCAUGCUAUGUCCUCCCUGUGGGCACCUCUUUCUGACUGCAGCAGCCUGCUAUGCCUCCAGCCUGGGACACCCAUGUGGUAAUCUCCCUUUUGUUCCUGCUCUCUUAUGUCUCCUCUAUGGGCUAAGUGUCAACCCAAGCUGCCUGCUUUGUUUACUGUUACUACAGAAGCCAAACAGGUGUGCCAGGAAACUUCUCUCACCUCC
Peromyscus maniculatus bairdii (prairie deer mouse) is the source of this 334-nucleotide non-coding RNA. The record is from RefSeq and is a predicted model, not a curated record. Lineage: Eukaryota; Metazoa; Chordata; Mammalia; Rodentia; Cricetidae.